UUUCCGUAGGUGAACCUGCGGAAGGAUCAUUAUUGAAUGCUUCAAGAGGGUCGGAGGGUGCGCCCUGCGCCGGCGGAGACGCCGUGCCGCGGGCCCCCGCCGCCCUCGUCCAACCAAACCCCUGUGCACCUUUUGGGAGGGAGCGGUCCGCGAGGCCCGAGCCCGCCCGUAAUUCACAAGCCCCUUUUCGAACCGAGAACGUGAAACGCGGACUCUGCGCCGCUCUAAAUUGACGAAACAACUUUCAACAACGGAUCUCUUGGCUCUC
This 268-nucleotide unclassified non-coding RNA is filed under the name plant metagenome. RNAcentral's name for it is "partial contains small subunit ribosomal RNA, internal transcribed spacer 1, and 5.8S ribosomal RNA". The record is from RNAcentral.